Serinus canaria (Common canary) is the source of this 1077-nucleotide long non-coding RNA. RefSeq lists it as uncharacterized. The transcript has 3 exons. The record is from RefSeq and is a predicted model, not a curated record. Lineage: Eukaryota; Metazoa; Chordata; Aves; Passeriformes; Fringillidae.
GAUUGAAUGAAGCUUCUUCCCAUCCAAACUUUUAAAUCUGUGAAGAGGAGGAAUGUCUCGACUCCAUCUACCUGCUCUGAAGGGAUGCAGUUUAUUUUCUGACUUGAUUGACCUACAGAGAACAUUGCUGCUGGAAGAGCCUUUCCUUGAGAAGAACAAUGCUGCUGGACUUGAACUUCCUGCCAGACUCAGCCAGACCAAGCCAGAUGAGCUGUCUACCUUCACAGUCUGCCUCAUGUCUGCUCUUCCAGUUGGCUGUGUUUGGGAAGCUGACCUCCCCAGGAAUCCACCUCAGAAACUGGAUGGUUUUCUUUUUGGGGCCAAGCUUGUUCUGACCAAAGAAGUCACAGAAGAGGUACAUGAGUGGGCAGAACGAUUGGGAGAAAAGAGCAGGGAGUAGCAGGAUUGCUGCUGUCCAGACUCCUGGGUUCAAGGCUCGUGGUCCUGAGUGAAUUCCAAAUGCACACAGAAAUGCAGUGUGGGAGGAGCUGUGCCAGGGGAUGGUCAAAUCUCAGUGCUGGGGUUUACAGGUUUGGAGUCUCCACAUUAGAUACACAACCAAUUCCAUCCCAAGAAUGUAAACUGCUAAUACUGCAUCAAAAGAUUUUUAAUCCUAGAAUGUGAAAUACCCAGCCCAACUCAAAACAAAACUCAAAACCAACUACCAUCCUAAAUCUAGUGAGGUUUUAUAUAAUUUUUUUUUUCCUGGGAUAUAAUGAAUUAAACAUAGUAUGAAAUGCAAAAAGGUUACAUUGAGACAUAUAAUAUUUGAAGGUUUAAUUCAUUUUUCUAGUGUAUAAGACACAAGGCUAUUAAAUUUUUAAAGCAGUGAUCUCCUGAAGUCCCUACUUUAUGAGGGCUUUCUUCAUAAAGAUAAAUGGUUUCCUUGCCAAAUCAAAUGCAGAUUUGAAACAAAUUAAGUUAAUGUUCAAUGGUACAAGGUAGAAUGGAUGGGGGAACUGUUUUAUUUUGCAUUGUAAUAACCAUAUACACCUAAAUCAAUAGCUGUGGAAAAAAAAGGCAAUAAUAUCACGUAACUGCAGGAAAUGAAAUAUAGUGAGAUGAAGGGGGGAGCGG